AGAGUUUGAUCAUGGCUCAGGACGAACGCUGGCGGCGGGCCUAACACAUGCAAGUCGAACGCGAUCCGUUGGUGCUUGCACCGACACAUGAUCGAGUGGCGAACGGGUGAGUAACACGUGAGGAACCUGCCCCGAAGCUCGGGACAACCACGGGAAACCGUGGCUAAUACCGAAUGACCUCCUUUGACCGCAUGGUCAGUUGAGGAAAGUUCAGGCGCUUCGGGAGGGUCUCACGGCCUAUCAGCUAGUUGGUGAGGUAACGGCUCACCAAGGCAACGACGGGUAGCUGGUCUGAGAGGACGAUCAGCCACACUGGGACUGAGACACGGCCCAGACUCCUACGGGAGGCAGCAGUGGGGAAUCUUGCGCAAUGGGCGAAAGCCUGACGCAGCCACGCCGCGUGAGGGAAGACGGCCUUAGGGUUGUAAACCUCUUUCAGCAGGGACGAAAAUGACGGUACCUGCAGAAGAAGCCCCGGCCAACUACGUGCCAGCAGCCGCGGUAACACGUAGGGGGCAAGCGUUGUCCGGAAUUAUUGGGCGUAAAGGGUGCGUAGGUGGUUUGAUUAGUCUGUCGUUAAAACUCCCGGCUUAACCGGGAAGAUGCGAUAGAAACGGUCAAACUAGAGGGGGUGAGAGGCAUAUGGAACUCAUGGUGUAGGGGUGAAAUCCGUUGAUAUCAUGGGGAACGCCGAAGGUGAAGACAGUAUGCUAGCACUUCUCUGACACUGAGGCACGAAAGCGUGGGGAUCGAAUGGGAUUAGAUACCCCAGUAGUCCACGCCCUAAACGAUGAUCACUGGCUUUUCGGAGUAUCGACCCUCUGAGAGGCGAAGCUAACGCGUUAAGUGAUCCGCCUGGGAAGUACGAUCGCAAGAUUAAAACUCAAAGGAAUUGACGG
RNAcentral lists this ribosomal RNA (899 nucleotides) under uncultured bacterium. RNAcentral describes it as "bacterial SSU rRNA". It matches the Rfam family "Bacterial small subunit ribosomal RNA", at positions 8 to 916 of the family's 1533-position model. The record is from RNAcentral.